AACGAACGCUGGCGGCGCGCUUAACACAUGCAAGUCGAACGAGAAGCCGGAGCAAUCCGGUUGUAAAGUGGCAAACGGGUGAGUAAUGCGUGGGUAAUCUACCCUCGGGUGGGGAAUAACUCUUCGAAAGGAGAGCUAAUGCCGACAUGUGCAGCACUUUCGCGAGGAGGUGCUGGAAAGCCGUACCGUGGGUACGGCGCCCAAGGAUGAGCUCGCGUCCUAUCAGCUUGUUGGCGGGGUAACGGCCCACCAAGGCUCCGACGGUAGCUGUCUGAGAGGACGACCAGCCACACUGGCACUGCGACACGGGCCAGACUCCUACGGGAGGCAGCAGUGAGGAAUAUUGCGCAAUGGAACG
RNAcentral lists this ribosomal RNA (358 nucleotides) under uncultured bacterium. RNAcentral's name for it is "bacterial SSU rRNA". It matches the Rfam family "Bacterial small subunit ribosomal RNA", at positions 29 to 378 of the family's 1533-position model. The record is from RNAcentral.